RNAcentral lists this ribosomal RNA (600 nucleotides) under uncultured bacterium. Its description in RNAcentral is "bacterial SSU rRNA". It matches the Rfam family "Bacterial small subunit ribosomal RNA", at positions 119 to 729 of the family's 1533-position model. The record is from RNAcentral.
GUGCACUGCCUUUAUCUGGGGGAUAGCUUUCCGAAAGGAGAUUAAUACCCCAUAGUAUGUUGAAAUGCAUCAUUCGACAUUGAAAACUCCGGUGGAUAGAGAUGGGGCACGCGCCAGAUAGAUAGUUGGUGAGGUAACGGCUCACCCAAGUCUACGAUCUUUAGGGGGCCUGAGAGGGUGAUCCCCCACACUGGUACUGAACACGGACCAACUCCUACGGGAGGCAAGUGAGAAUAUGGACAAUGGGUGAGAGCCUGAUCAGCAUCCCGCGUGAAGGACGACUGCCUAUGGGUUGUAAACUUCUUUUGUAUAGGGAUAAACCUACCCUCGUGAGGGUAGCUGAAGGUACUAUACGAAUAAGCACCGGCUAACUCCGUGCCAGCAGCCGCGGUAAUACGGAGGGUGCAAGCGUUAUCCGGAUUUAUUGGGUUUAAGGGUCCGUAGCGGAUCUGUAAAGUCAGUGGUGAAAUCUCACAGCUUAACUGUGAAACUGCCAUUGAUACUGCAGGUCUUGAGUGUUGUUGAAGUAGCUGGAAUAAGUAGUGUAACGGUGAAAUGCAUAGAUAUUACUUAAAAACACCAAUUGCGAAGGCAGGUUAC